CGGUGGCCGAUGGACGGUGGCCCGAUGAUCGGUCAAAAAGGGACCGAGAGAGAGAGAUGAAGAGCUCCUCUUUUUUUGAGAAAAUGUUUUUAAAACUGUUUUUUUGUUCAUUUUGUUAUUUUUAUAAGAAAUGAAACGGCGCCGUUUUAGUCCUACAUGACCCGCGCGCGAUCCGACCCGCUCCAGUGGGGAUCCGCGCGUUUUCAUGAAGUGGGCUAUUUAGUCCUUGGUCCCUC
RNAcentral lists this long non-coding RNA (236 nucleotides) under Gossypium barbadense (sea-island cotton). Its description in RNAcentral is "long non-coding RNA (GBAR_LNC010714)". The record is from RNAcentral. Lineage: Eukaryota; Viridiplantae; Streptophyta; Magnoliopsida; Malvales; Malvaceae.